RNAcentral lists this long non-coding RNA (13638 nucleotides) under Drosophila melanogaster (fruit fly). RNAcentral's name for it is "long non-coding RNA:CR46003 (Dmel_CR46003)". The record is from RNAcentral. Lineage: Eukaryota; Metazoa; Arthropoda; Insecta; Diptera; Drosophilidae.
AAGUGAUAUGUAACUUCUACUAUUUUGAAGCGAAUUGUAGCAAACCCAUAUGCUUGCAUACAUUUGCAACUCUUGGAAUUUAAUAAAGGCAAAUUCCUCCUGAGCAGCGACUAAUGACCAUCGCUUGAAGCUAAUCAGGCUGGCAUGAGGUCGGUUUCGUUUUGAUUUUGGGGAUGGGGUUUCCUUGGCCCCUCUCUGUACUUUUCCCUGCGAAAUCAUUAAUCUGCCACACUCGCUCAGACAUCAGACGUCAGUGGCAGGCAUCCACCAGAGGUUUCCCACAUCUUCCCCCUCAUCUAGCCCCAAAAAGGAACAUUAAUUUCCUCUGGUGCGCUGCUUAGGAGACAUUAUAUAGAGUACCUGGUCGAUCGAAUUCUGUGAUAGCUUUAGCUGAUUGCACACAAAACGGAUUUGCCUAGCUGCACAUCGCAAAAACCGCGCCCCGAAAAUCGUACCAAGAAUAACACAAACGAGACGAAUCUUUCGAUUCCUUUGUGGCAAUGUCUGCAAUUCGCAUUACGCAUACGCCGCGUGAGCCUGCGAAUGCUUGUUUGAUGUUUCCAACUCUGCUAUCAGUGUACAAGUGUUUAUGCUUGUGUGGGUGUGCGGUUUAAUGUGUGUGUGCUAAGUGUGUGUGUGCGUGCUUGUGUUGCUUUAUGAUGACAUGCCAAACAUUUAUGCAAAAUGCUAAUUUAAAUCCAAGUCGUGAGCUAAGGAAGUUGUUCAACUUGCUGGUACAGUGGUAGUAGGUAUAAAAUAGAGAGAUACAUUUAUAAAUUAGAGAGAUACUUUUUAACUAUACAAAAAAAAAAUGUAUUGAAUGUAUUAUCCCAUAAUCUGUUAAGCUUAUGAAUUAUUGAAUACUUUUUAUAUUCCGGUACAUGUAUAAAUGCGAUUCUGGGUUAUUAAAUUGUAUUUAUUUAAUUAAUUAUACAUCUGAAUAAGAUUUUAAACCCAAUAUUUAAGACUCUUAAUGAUAUUUAUCCACUGUACUGGUGUCUUAGGCGUAAACGCCUCUUCAUCAGCAUAACUCGUCAGGCAUGACAUUCCAGCCCCUGUACUUGGCAUCGAGUUCUGGUUGUGCUAAUGCCUGAAUGUCCGACUUACCGAAUGAAUAUGAAUAGUUAAAUAGCCGGGGAAUGAUGGACUAUCUUGGCCACACCUUUCGCUGCAUUUUGGCCAUCUUCGUUCCACUUCGCCCCAUUGGCGUGGAAAUACGAAAAUGGCUGCGACAGGAAAUUACGGCAGAUCUAAAGCCGAUAUCUCGCAUGGAUAUCUAACUGGUGCAAAUCUUGAGGGGAAAUUAGCUGCGAAAAUGCUUAAAAUUGGAAAUUUAAAUGUGAGCAGAGCGAUUGUAGUUGUUGUUGCUCAUUGUAAUUUGCUAAAGUAUUUGUGGAAUAUGAAUUGCGAGCAUUUGCAUAAAUGAAAUGUGUAUGUAAAUGUCGAGCUCGUAAUGCCAAUCAAUCACCCCAAAAAAGGGAACUCACGCACACACAUGCGGAGCAGCUCCUCCCACACGCAUACAGGCACACAAAACCAAUAAACUAAAUUCGCAAGGAGCGAAAAAAAAAACGGAAGAAGGAUGAGAAACUCGAGCAGAAAUCGUCAACAACAUACAUGAUGCAGUGGGGAGGGUCCUUUGUACGUACAUAUGUGUGUGCGUGUUUGUGUGAGUGUGCCAACCCUUAUCCUUGGCAGGAUAUUACAUGCUUCAACAAUGUUGUAGCAUUCCCAAUAACAACAACUCCGCUCAGAGCAUUCCUGCCGAAAAUGAAAUUCUGUUUUGCAUUUUAUGUCGACAUCUCCUGAACCCAAAAUGUAUAAAAAAAAAAGAAAAUAAUACAUAUAGAAAGACGAACCCGCCAAAGAAUAAAGCAGAAGGAGCUAAAAGGAGCAGGAGCAACAAGGACAUACAGCAGAAAAAAAUGAAAUCUAAACAAAAUGCGUUCGAGCGUGUGUGUUCAAUUACAAUGUGUGUGAUUGCUUGGCUCGCUAGGCAGCCGAAAAGGGGGCGCAGGGGGUGUGGCAGGACCCCGGACACACACACACACCCACACACCCGCUUUAGCAUAAAAAUUUACAAUGCGAAAUAAGCAAGCGAAACGAACGAACACAAAACGCUUUUUAUUUCAAUGUUCUUAUUUUUUUUCUGGCUGCUGGUUUUCAGGACCUCCGCAGGACCUUUAGGACCACGAGCACGGCAUCCUUAUGCAAAUAACAUCCACACUGGCACAUAAAAAUAAAAUAAUAACAAUACAAUAUUUUUUUGAUGACAGCCGCCGCCCCAGAAGAGCGUUGGCACAACAAUGCAAAUACCCCACGCAUCCCAUCUAUAUAUAUCUUCGAAUUGCGAUUUGGGUUCAAGGUCUGCCCAUCAAAGAAAGGUUUAAUCGAUAGCGAAAUUCUUGGUCUGGGUUCUCUCUUAGUGUAAAUUUCGAAGAUAUUCCUUCGACAUCAUGAAUCAUGAUGUGGUGCCAUCAAAUUUUGUUUCAUUUUUAAUGCUGCCUGGAGUUAUGAACUGAGAUGAUGCGGCGGUUAAUGGGAUCAGUAGGAUGGGAAAAGAAUCCAAUUUUUGAGUUUAUUAGUAUUUCAUUUGCUAAUAUUUUUUAGAUAAAAUUUCUUCAGGAUUUCAGCAAUUGAAGAUCUGAUGAAAAUACUUGAAUAUAUAACGAAUACAUCUACCAUUUAACAUUAUCUUUAACAAUAUACAAAAUAAUAUACCAGGUGAAAUCAGAUAUAUGAAUGCUCAUCGGGAAAUAAAUUUCAAGAGAUAAAUAAAAUUCAAGAGAUAAAUAAAUAUCAAGAAUUAAGUCUGAGCAAAAUAUUAUGUCCAGAUUUGAUGUCGUUUUCAAUUUGUAUCAAUCAUCGUUCCGGGAACAAUUAAAAAUUCUAAAAUUUCCAUCAGCAUAACUCGGCUAACUCUCUCCUGCCCUUCGAAUGCAACAAUAUAAAUAAUUAUUUUUGCAUACACAAUGUAAGGCAAACAACACGAUAAACACAGGCUGGCGCAAAGGAUGCAUGGGAAUGCGAGUGCGAGGAGAAUAAGGAGCGAAAUCACAUUUGAAUAACAAUCAUCAUGCGAGUUAUUUCAAUUGACAAGGGGGGCGGGGCCGAUCGGGGGGGCGCUGAAGAUAUUGAAAAUAUGAAAAGACACGAGAGUUGGAAAGAAAAAACACACGCGAAAUCACAAAGAAUUCAUAAUAAGCGUCAUUGUCGAUGGCAGCGAGCGGGAAAUGAAUAAAAAUCAAAGUACAUUGAGGAGUCCUGUGUGUUGACAAAGGUGAAAAAGGGUAUGAGUGGGGGGCGGGGAGAUCGAAGGACGAAUGGAGAGGGAGUAUUACUGAAGGGCACGUAUAGGAAUGUGGAAUUGAAUGUGUCGCACAGGAUGUGUGCUUUUUUAUUGUUGUAUGUGCACUACACGGGUAGAAAUAAUUUAAAAAUUUAAUUUUUAACAAUAAAAUGUUGUCAUAAGUGAGGGGUGGUCCUGUUGGAAAUGAUUAUCACUCGUCACUCAGGCAAUUCAAUAUUCUAACUACCGACUUUCCAUUUUAAAUUCCACCCACUUUAAUUUUUGCUGACCUUUAAAAUGGCCGGCCGUAAAUAUGAAUCACCCAAUUUUUUUUUUUCGACGUGUUGAAGACAUUCCCGAAGCCUGCCACCAUCUGCAUGUGUGAGUCGAGUCGAGAGCCAGCCAAAGGAUGUCGUAGCCUGGCAGGAUCCUCCGCCUGCGUGGCCUGCAUGAAUUUUGAAUGACAAUUUGCAGGCGGCAGGAGCAGCAGCAACCAAUCCCCAGAAUUCAGGCCAUUGUUCGCUUAUUGAAAUUUCAGCCAAAGGAAAACGGAACGAGCCACUUGAAUUCGCAGGAUGUGAGUGAGAAAAUAAGGACAUAGUGCCGUUGCUGUUCCGCUAUGAUGUGAUGAUGCCAGUUGACAAAUUGUGGCAGCCAGCAAGUGGCAUUUCAUUUUCAUAGCCACCAGUUGCGCUGCCAUUUGCUCAUCCUCAACAUAAUUGAUUUCAUUAAAUGCGAGGGCAAACAAGCCGAGCAACAAGUUGCCACAGGAAAAUGAGUGAAGUACGGAAAAACCACCCACUCUGCCAAUGCCCGACUGAAAGUAAAAACAAAUUAAGCUCUCACGACGGCGACGGCGAAAUAAUUGGGGGAAUUUCCGCAAAACGCCCCAGACAAGCGCAGCAAGAUGAAGAAGAGGAGGACUGAGAAAAACUGAGCCAGACACUUUGACAUAAUUUCCCCGCCAGCAGACUCUGCCACCCACCACCCCCUCAAGGACACGACCAUAACCAACCCCAACAAAGUUUUAAUUAAUUGCGCCCGAACCACACACACACACACAAAUGCCUGCUGCUAAAAGCGGGGGGAAAAUGAAAAUGAGUCAAGCUGCGAAAAGUUGGGCGUUCAUUUUCACGUACACGAGCUUCUCUUGGGUUUCCUGAAUUUUCCAAAGACACAGCAGCAGUUAAAUGGCAAAGAAAAGUAAGUGUGUGUGUGUGUGUGUUUGUGUGUGUGUGUGGGGUGUGGGCCAACGAGGUCGAAGGAGCAGCACAAUGUGGCUUAAUUUCAUUAUGUCGCUUAAGAUGUUGUUGCUGCUGCUCCUGUGGAUGUUGUCCUUGCUUGUUUGCUGGAUGCUGCUCCUGCAACUGAAAGUUCUCUUCGUCUGUUGCUCCUGGGAUUCCAAAUGUUGCUGCUGUAACUGCAGUUGCAAUUUUUAUGGUUCCUUUUUUUUUGUGGCUAAAGUUUCUUUUGCACGAAGUGCUGUCAAAAUUUGUGCAACAAAGUUAAGUUUUACUUUACAUUACUUUUGCGUCCUAGCUAGUUUGUGUAAACGCUAAUUAAUAUAACCAAUUUUAUAUGAAUAUGUAUCGAAUUGCCUUUAUGUGUUUUAAGGAUAUGCUUCUAAAAACCAAUGUUCAAAAACCAAUUUAAUAUCAAUAGCUCCUCUCUCAUUAACCAAUCCAAGGGGACUGUCAAGUGCGUUACUUGCAAAACCUGUAACAAGUAAAAAGUUUCCAGAGCGCAGUAAAUUACAAGGGAAGAGAAAAUCUCUCGAGAUAUAAAUACAUUAUAUUUCCGGCGGGCAACUUCCGGUUCCGCGCUGAAUGCGGAGAAGCUGCGUAAAAUUAUUGAAUGCAAAGCAUAAAAUCCUCAAUCAAAUUCAUGAUGCGUGAAGACGAAAGACAAAAGCGUUUCGAAUUCGCUUCAGGUAGCCAAGGAAACGAUGCCCUACAUGCGGGCCUAGAUUUUGGAUUUUAUAUGCAGAUGAGAGAUUCGUCGGGAUGUGAAAACCCAUCCCACAUCAGCCAUCUGAGCAUGAAAUGUGUAUUGAAAGUUUGGCAUAAAAGUCUAAUUAAGUGCGGACCAGAUAUCUAAAAAAAAAAAUCGCAGUAACCGAUACCAACCGCAAACACUCGAAACGUAUAGAGUUCAAUGUUUUUGCGUGGCGAGCGAUGGAAAGUCAGGUAUUGCGGUGUUUAUAUUUUUACUACCCCUAUUGUCAAUAAAAUCGGGAGUAGGCAAACAGGAGAUAGGAUGCUCUCGAAACCCUUUUUUUUAUUAUUCGCCCUUCGGGCCGCACCCAUUGUCUGAAGGCGAUUUAUUGCCGAUUUGCCCCUUUGGAUCGCAGAAAGUGCUUUUUUUUUUGGCCAGAGAGAUAGAGCAUUUAUCUGAUCUAACCCCUUUGUGAUCUGCCAUUGUCCCCCUGGCUUUCGGGCAUUAUUAUAAAUUUGCCUUUUAAUUUACGUUACGCCGAUUUCAGACAAUGCCCGGCUAUGAAUAUUCAUAAUGCCGAAUCACAACCGAACUGACAAUCGCAUGUUAAUGGGCUGGCAUAUGUUGAGGAUUCCCCUUUCCCAUUUGGCGAGUGAAUGGGGUUAGUGCUCUGAUAUCUCUGGCAAUUGCAUAAAAAUUGUUGAUUUAUGCCCGCCGAUUUCGAUUUUUCGCAAUGCCAAUAUUUCUUUAUGUCGCCGUCGCAUUUAACAACACAUUUACAUGCUGUUUUGCGUGUCCUCUAUUUUAUUAUUUUUAGAUUUUCAAUUUUACGGGUAGAAAUGAUGGGUGAAAGGGUUUCGUCAUUGAAUUGCCCAUGAAAUUUCAAGUGUUUUUCUCGAUGUCACCGAGAAUUGGGUGACUCUUUGGUAUGUUCAUCGAAUGGUUAAAGUGGUUUGCUAACAAAAAACCGGAAGACUUGUGAUAUUUUGAGUAAACAAAAUAAUAGGUAAUAGGCAAUUGAGGAUUAACAAAAGACUAUUUAUCCAUGGCACAAUUUAUUUAAUAGACAUAAGAAGGAGUAAAUGGAAUAUCCCUUUAUGAUAUAUUACUAAAAUUAUGAUUUGGCAAAUAGGUUAUCUGCUUUAUGACUAACGGAAACUAGAUGAAUGUUGUACAUUUUAUAUAGACUGGUUUUCAUUUUUUUUUAAACUCAAAAUUAUGGCCUGCAAAACUCAGAUUUGCCUCAUUUGACUACCCCAUGGAGCUUGAGCAAUGUGCAUGUUCUAACCCAUCAUCAAUACAAAAGAUUCAGCGAAAGCAAAAAGCAGCGAACCUUAAGCCGCCACAAAAUUCAGACGCCAGCUCAUCAAUCAAAUGACAGGCAGCAUUUACCAAAUUUGUCAGUUUAUAAGCCGAAUAAAAUAACCAAAUGCCACGGCGAAAAUCCCCAGCAGAACGCCUUCUAGAAAAGGAGAGACGAAGGACAGAUUGAUGUGGGCAUUACGUGACCAGUUCUCCAGUUCCCGAAAAGGGGUUUGAUCUGCUGAUUUUGAAGGCCUCUCGCUGGGUAAUUUAUGCGCCGGCGUAAACGCCUCAGCGAAAAAGUAAAAAGUGAAAAAGAACUGAGGGCCCAGGAGGCUGUUCUACCUGGUCGGAGGAUAUGCGCAUAUAGCUAUGGCUAUGGAUAUGGGCAUAGGACAACCCUCUCCAUAGCGAUUGCCCUUCGCUGAUCCGCGCUGAAUAAAUUAGAAUUUAUGCGCGAUUUGCAUGACUGAGGCAGCGAACCCUUCACAGCUGUUCUGCGAUUCCGAAGAUCCUCAGUUUGUGCGUGAAGCUCGGGCGUGUUGGUUGCCACAUCGAAAUGGUGAUGGUUCAGAUGGACAGAGAUAUACGAAAGCCGGUUUUGGCACUGCGAAAAAUUCCUGAGACUUUGAGUAGCAGAUCAAAGUAUUCAUAUGGUGAAAAAAACACAGGAUGCUGCUUAUACAAAUGUGUGCACAUUUCAUUGACUUUAAAACAUUUUCAUAAUAAAUAUAAUACUAAAGUAUCGAAAGAUAUUCAAAGCAGUGAAUUUUCUCCCAGUGAUUAAUCCCCUAUGGAAAUAGCAUUGGACUGCACGCAUGCGUGACUCCUUUACGGUCAAGUGGCAUGGCUUCGAGAGGGUUAAUGUUGGAAAAGUUGGGAAUUUCCCUCCUCAGGUUGUUCAAUAGCAGUAGCUGAAAAGUAGUGGCUGCUCCUCCACUGGUGGCCACUUCACAUGAGCCGACUCCUCAAGACCAAGUUAAUAAUAUGAAAGAAAUCACUUGGCAGCUUUGGUGCAUUGUUAAAAGUUUUUAAGCCGCGCCUCAAACAGAAAAAAAAAAAUGAAAUAAGAAAGGGAAAAGCGCCGCCUCAUAUGUGGCAAACAAAGUUAUUUGUGGUAGUGCUUUUGUGGUGCCCCUUUUCCCAUUUCCCCUCCCCGCCCUCACCAAUUUUUCCCGACAAAGGUAGUUCUCAUCGGGCGCCAGCAAACUUUGCUGUUUGCGAAACUUUUUUCUCGUCGCUUUUCCUGCAUUUUUUACACAAUUUCUUUGUUGGACCAUGGGGCUUUUUGGGGGGUGUGGACGGAAAAUACGCAGUAGCUGCGGCAGCCGCUGCGUAAAACUUUUCACUUUGACUCGACUUUAUUGUAUUUCUAAUACUUUGCCUUUCAGCCAAGUUAGUGACUUCGACGGCAGCAUGUGAACAAUGUAAGCGGCCAACGGUUGCCAAACUGUAAGCGUCCAUAAAAAUGUUUGGUCUCUGGCCACUCGAGCAGAUUGUGGAGAAAAGGGGAUAUCCCAGGGUCUUCCCGGGGAUCCCCCCAUUAGUUCACUGGGGUUCAAGUGGAGCCAAGACAGCAAUCUCACACACACAUACAGACACACACACUCUUUCGCACACAGAUUGCAGACAAUUGAAAAUUUUACAUUUUAUGACGCUGCGCAAUUUGUGGCGGUUGCCAAGACCCAGCAAAAUUCUUGAUUCUUGAAUAAGGACAAAGUUUUUGGGUGUCUUAAGGUGUCUUACCUAUCUAAAACAUGACACGCAACUUUGAAUGUGGUAAAAAGGAUAGUUAUUUAGUUAUUGAACUCAGGUAGUCUAGUAUUUAUUUCUUGAAGUGAGUACUGAUAAAAAAACUGUCGGUAUUGGCCAAAGAAACCAUCAUAUAAACUCAUAUUGUUCAGAAUAAAUUGUAUCAUUAAAAAUUCAAGAAAUCUCGUAGAAAAUCUGUAACGCUCUAUCAAAACACUUAUUCAAGAACAUUUAGAAUAUAAUAAAGAAUAAACUAAUAUUUCCCUGAUUUUUUCCCAAAACUAAAGACACCAAAUCUAAUGUAUUUCCUUGCGAGACCUUUGAUUGCCAACUAAAACUGACAUGGCAGCUCAAGUUGACAUCCUCAAAGGCUCUAAAGUUACCUUAUUUAUAUGUGCACAUAUCGGCAAUUGGAUUUGGCUACAAAUUGGGCAGACAAAGCCAGGCACAUAGGUACCACUGCGUAUUGGGAUGGCACAAAGCUCGUUUGAGGGCCUUUUGUCGCAAAGCCCAUUAAAUGUCGGGCCACCAAUUUGGCCAGGAUCUGAAUACGGCAGCAGUGGCAGCUGUAGAAACUGAACUGAACUCAACUGAAACGGAAACCCAAGCUCAAGCCGAAAUGCGAAAUACAGAAAUAGAAAGAUAUAUCGGAGGAGACAGAGAGUGUUGCCUUCUGGAUCGACUCUGCCAAAUGAAAUGUGAUGAAUUGUACGUAAUUUGGAAGGGCGACACAUUUGCAUGAGUAGGGAAAAUCGCCACCCCCUCGCCACCCCUCACCAUUCGCUACUUUUCCUCCGUUUGCCAGCUUUUCCUGAAAAUGGCAAACUGUCAGUUUGGAGUUCUUCUCGGCAGAAACUGUGCGGCACUCACAUCUCAUUAAUUUGUGAUUGAUACGCUGACUCUGAGCUCUCAUCUUGCUGGGAAAAUCCACCACCCCAUCCACAAAGUCAGCAGUGUGUUUGUGCGUAAAGCGUCACAAAUGAAAUUGAAGUGUGUUUGUGAUCCCAUUACAAAUAAGUAAAGGGAGCUUCCUUGAGGGAGGGAAGUUCUUGGGGAUGCGGGGACUCUACACAUUUGAUGGAUUUGCAUGUGCUGUGACACAAGUCACUAAAAUAUCUUAUUACACAGACACACACACACUGUGGCACAUACGGGCUAACACACACGCACACACACUCACAUGUCACAGGCAGCCAUUUUUAUUCGUAACUCAUAUAGGCCGCAUAAACAAACAGGACCCGCCAUUGGACUCAACUGUGCCUCACUUUUGCGAAAUGCACCAAAGAAAUAUUUCUUAUGCUAAGCAACAAAUUAACAAAUUUAUUGAGUGAAUGAAUUAUUUAACUAACAUUUUAUUGACUUAUUAAAUAUUUAGCAAAUUGAAUCAUUUCAUACUUCCUUGAUUACUUAUAUUUUUACUCUCAGUGUAGUUCCCACACUUUUCCUUUUUUGGUCCUGACGAAAUUGUCUCCCAUUUAUUUUUCAACUUCGAUUUUUGCCUGUCGCGCUUUGCGUACUUCCAUUUCUUUUACUUUCUUUUUGCAAAUUGACACCCUCUCACGCACGCACACACACACACGCACACACACACACACGCAAUGAGAAAGCUUGUUAGAGUGGUUGUUGUAGUUUUCCCUCUGCAUGUUUGCUUUUGUUGUUUUUAUGUCUAUCUGACUGUCAAGCUGCGGCUGCUGCUGGUUUUUUUUUCAGCAUUUUGCGCUGCCUGCUGCUCCUUCGGCAGCUUCAUCAAUGCCGGAAGCGUGAAAAUCUACAGCCGAAAGAAAGGGAAAAGUUCACAAAUGGAAAAUUACGGGUGCACACGUGCUCACACACGCUAUAUGUGUGUGUAUGUGUGUAAUAGCCACCCCCUGACCCACAACAACAACAGCGCAUAUUUUCCCAACCCCAUGAACUCAGACUCGUUUGUCAUUUCAGGUUGUUUUAUUCAAUUUCGAGGCAAGCGAAAUUCGCAAAAAAAAAAUGAAAGGCAAAAGGGAGCGCGAUGGCUGCGAAAAAAACUCUUUGAAAAUUUAACGCGCUGAAUGUCAUGCGAUAUGUCACACAUGUAGCCCAUAGACUGUUACGCCCCCUUCUCCCACAUAUAUAUUUUUAUUUUUUUUUUUGUCAAACCGCUGCCUUAUCGGCUGCCAUAUUAAUGUACUGGAAAUUUGCCAUUUUCCCUUCAUGGCUGAAAAAUAUAUGCGAAACACCCCGAAAUGGUUUGGGCACCAGAAAAGGAGCUUUUCAUUUAGUUGUCAAUGUUCUUUAAUCUUAUUUAGAGCUAAGAGCAGAAGUAAGAACCAUUAAGCAUAAAUAUCAUUUGAUAUUAAUACGUAUACGUGCAGACAAACAAGACAGUUGAGCAAAUAAAUAUAUAAUUCAAAACAGGGAACGAAGUUGCUCACUGCUAAAGUGAAGAAUAUUUGAAUUGAAUAAAAUAAUGACAAAUAAUUAAUAAACCAAAUCGAUAGAAUAUGUGAAUGCAAUAAACCGAAAAUAUUUAAAAAUACUUUAAAUGCCAAAAGCCAUAAAGCAACAACAAAUUUUUAAAUGAUUAUUGUUUUUUUUGUAUUAAUUAUAUAUAUUUUUUAUAUUUCUGAAGUCCUAGUUUUCUGAAUCGGAACAUCGUUAUGUGUGCUGACACUUUGGCAACCUUUAGCCAUUCAAUGCCAACGAUGCGUGUCCACAGUCGAUUCUAAUCAGGGAACUCCAGUCGGGCAGCAAAAGGCAACAAAAUGGAGAGCUGAAUUUCCAUUCUUUUUGUCGGUUGCACUCGAAUGAAUUUCAUUUGCGAACUGGCAGCCAUGGAAAAGGGUCAGUUUUCGGGUUUGUCCACUGCUGAUCCUUUUGUCAAUUGCCCUGGCUUUUCGAGAGUUUUCCUUUCUCCUUCUGGCUUUUCAACUACCAAGUCGGCGAAUGUCUUUUGGUGCUGCAAGAUUGGCAAAUCUGUAGAUUGAAUGACUUCUCAUAUUGUCGAUUGAUUGUCCUUGGAAAGGUAAGUGGGGUCUUUUGCUUGCCAUAAGUGAUUGUCGCGGCGAUUUUGAGAUAUUUGAGUAAUUAAAUGAGCAGUUAUUGGGAACCCAAUCAUAUUAGACUAUUGAAGUGGAAAACAAUACAAUAGGAUCUUGACAAAUGUUGACAUAUGUGUAGUUAAUGAUUACCAACGUUAAAGUAGCUUACAAUACACUUACGUUUUAAUAUAUCUAUAUAAAGCAUAAUAUAUAAUAUUUUAAACUGAUGUUUUCUUUUAGUUUAUCAACACAAAAUGUUUAAAAUUGUUUCUUUCAAUUUCUUUGGUAUCAAAUACCAUUUAUUUUCUCACUUGAAAACUUUCUCGAAUAGUUUUGUACCGAAAAUAAACCCAUUAACUUUAAUGUGUCCUUGGUGGAUCAUAAAUCUCCGGCAAACAAAUAGCAGAAUAUCCUUUUGUUUUUUUCGCCCAUUUCACUUCAACUUACCGCCCACGUAGCCCAUUAAUUUCUUGUGCCAUUUUAAUUUCGCUUUCAUUUCGGUAGACGCUGCAAGGCCAAAUGCAACAACAUCUAAGACUGCGUCUGGGGAAGCCCCGUGGAAAUGAGUUCGCAAAAGUGGGCGGUCUGGAAGGAAGUGGGAAGUGGCAAGAAAAACUGUUGCAUUAAAGGCUGGGCGGCAGUCGCUACGUCAUCGCUAUUGCUGCUGUGAAAAUGAGCCAGCUUGGUAGUUAGUCAGCGUUCGCUUUUCCUUGCUGCUGUGCUCCGCUUGUUUCAUUUCAUUUAUUUCAGCCCGUUGCCGGUAGAAUUUCCACAGCUUUUCCGCCGAACCCCACACCCCCUCCCCCCGUUUCAUUUUCCUCUUCUGGGGGCUAUAAUUUCAUUCGCCCAUUAAAAAUAUACUUUGCAACCCACUCGGAGCGGAGUUGUUGUUGCUGCUGCUCCUGAUGCUGCUGCUUUUGGUGUUGCACGUUGCUCUGCCAUCGUCCUGCGUCGACGUCGUCGUUCGUUAGUUUGUUUUUGGGGCCAAAGCCGCAAGAGAGCGCGGCCCACAUUUCCGCACCCGGCAAAAGAAUGGCACACAGGCACGGAGAAAAAUGUAGGAAAUAGAUUUCAAUGAAUGCUUAAAAAGGUUAAAAAAAAAGUUCAUAUGUCUUAGGCAAUCAUACUUAAACGUUUUUAUGGUAUAGUUUUUAUAGCAUCAGUAAUGCCAAGCUUUUAAAAUACUAUUAUACGAAUUGAUAACAUACGACUUCGAUUUUCAAUUAACUAUUAUAAGCACCAAACAUUAAAUGGCAAGUUAAACGAAUUAAAAUCUUUUAUUCCCACACACUCCCUUUUUAAUUUAAGAGCUAAUUACAACUUUAUUGGAUCCCCAAAAUUUUAUCGCCGUGUGGUAAUGAGAGUUUUUCCAACUGAACCUCGCUGCGCAGCCGACUGCGCUGCCUCUGCUGGCGUUGGUGUGGGUGCUGCGCUCAUUUUCAUUUUCAUUUUCGUUGAUGAGAUAAUGGUUUCGGUGUCUCUGUUUUUCCUCUCGCUGGAAAACCAUGAUGAUGAUGAAGCUGCCGGGAGUGAAUUAUUUUAAAUGUGGGUUUCAAGGUCAAGGUGACGGCGGUUAUUGUUUUGCUUUUCGCGCUGCCGGCGUCGCCGUUGUUUCGCUGCUGCGUUCAUUAAGCGCCGGCAGCGACGUCGGUUUUUCCUGCUUCCACUUUUCUUGUUUGUAUUUUCUUUUUUCUUGAUUAGCAUAAUGAAGAGGUGAAUGAACCGGCGUUGGUGAAUCAACUGGUGGUUGUUGUUGCCCCGCUGUUAAUUAUCAUUUGUCUCUUAUUUGCUGAGAAUUUUUUGCGUUGAUUUCGCUUUUGGCCCGAGGAAAAGUAUUGCCUACUUGGAGGCGCCAUUUGCCGGGGAAAUUCUCCCAGGGCGCAUUCGAUAAAAUUGCGAAAAUUGCUGAGGGGCGAGAAGGGAGCGAAAGGGAGUGGAAGCGUCGAACGUCGACGACGCACAUCAAAAUAUGCAAAUUGGAAUUUCAAAAAUACAGCAAUAUUGCUGAAGCCUUCAGCUUCCACUCCACAUCUCCAGCUUCUGCCACCCCAUUUCCGCCACCCUCCUUCAAGCACCCAGCCACCCCAUCACCCCAGGCACAUACUUUUGUAUGUGUACACAGAUAUCUAUCUGACAGUAGUCACUCCAACAGAUAACAGUGAACUAUCAUUUCGGGAAACCACACUUAAGUAAUCUAUUACUGAUCUUAGAUGGGAGUUAAUUGUAUUAGCCACUUUACAUUUGUCGAAUUAAAUAACUAAUAUUAAAGAAAUUAUUUUGAAAGAGGAGUAAGCAAGACAAUUAAUGUAUGAUUUAUAAGGACAAUGAAUUAAUAUAGUAUAAAUUUAU